RNAcentral lists this ribosomal RNA (620 nucleotides) under Trichoderma piluliferum. RNAcentral's name for it is "eukaryotic LSU rRNA". The stretch from base 234 to 387 matches the Rfam family "5.8S ribosomal RNA". Lineage: Eukaryota; Fungi; Ascomycota; Sordariomycetes; Hypocreales; Hypocreaceae. The record is from RNAcentral.
CCUCCGUAGGGUGAACCUGCGGAGGGAUCRUURCCGWGYKKMYARCUCCCAAACCCAAUGUGAACGUUACCAAACUGUUGCCUCGGCGGGAUCUCUGCCCCGGGUGCGUCGCAGCCCCGGACCAAGGCGCCCGCCGGAGGACCAACCAAAACUCUUUUUGUAUACCCCCUCGCGGGUUUUUUAUAAUCUGAGCCUUCUCGGCGCCUCUCGUAGGCGUUUCGAAAAUGAAUCAAAACUUUCAACAACGGAUCUCUUGGUUCUGGCAUCGAUGAAGAACGCAGCGAAAUGCGAUAAGUAAUGUGAAUUGCAGAAUUCAGUGAAUCAUCGAAUCUUUGAACGCACAUUGCGCCCGCCAGUAUUCUGGCGGGCAUGCCUGUCCGAGCGUCAUUUCAACCCUCGAACCCCUCCGGGGGGUCGGCGUUGGGGAUCGGCCCUGCCUUGGCGGUGGCCGUCUCCGAAAUACAGUGGCGGUCUCGCCGCAGCCUCUCCUGCGCAGUAGUUUGCACACUCGCAUCGGGAGCGCGGCGCGUCCACAGCCGUUAAACACCCAACUUCUGAAAUGUUGACCUCGGAUCAGGUAGSARUACCCRYUGAWYUUWAGCAUAUCAAUAAGCGGAGGA